GUAGGAUGUAAAAGACGACAGACUUAAAAKCUUGAACUUCUACACCCAAUUUUAUCCUUAAUCCAACAUCGAGGUCGCAAUCUUCUUUGUCGAUUUGAACUCUCAAAUGAAAUUACGCUGUUAUCCCUAAGGUAACUUAAUCUUAUAAUCACUAAAAAUGGAUCAACAAUUCAUACAUCAAUGGAUUAAAUCAUAAAGAGUUUAUUUAUUCUUCAUAUCACCCCAAUAAAAUAAACUUAAAUAUUAAAUCCUUAUAUACCACUAAAAAAAGAAUAUAUCUUAUCUAUAAAGCUCUAUAGGGUCUUCUCGUCCUCCAAUAUCAUUUAAGCUUUUUAACUUAAAAAUUAAAUUUUAACUUAUUACAUAUGAGACAGUUAAUACUUCGUCAAACCAUUCAUUCCAGUCCCAAAUUAAAAGACUAAUGAUUAUGCUACCUUUGUACAGUCAAAAUACUGCAGCCCUUCAAUUUAUCAGUGGGCAGGCUAGACUUUAAAUUAUUUACAAAAAGACAUGUUUUUGUUAAACAAGCG
Molecule: ribosomal RNA, 530 nt
Filed under: Ceuthophilus uhleri
Lineage: Eukaryota; Metazoa; Arthropoda; Insecta; Orthoptera; Rhaphidophoridae
Description: partial 16S ribosomal RNA
Source: RNAcentral